GGCUUUCUAUUCUUCCCUGAUUGUCUUAGAAUCCAGCCCCUGACUCUUCCCAGCACUCCCCACCCCAUGCCCAGUACCCCCACUCCACCUCUGCCUCCUGGAUAAAAGGCUGGCACUCCUGGGAAGAGGGGGAUUUAUCUGAGUUAAUGAUCUCUUCCUUGGAAUCUUUCUGCGGCAUCAGACAGAGGGCCACAGUCUCCCAUGGGCAGAGUGAACCAAUGCUGAUGAACCAAGGCCAGCCAUCAAAGAUCUAGAUGUUAGAGGAGAAAUUCUAACUUCCCAAUCUGUGCCUCAUCUUGGAUGGACCCUGAAGGAAAAGUGUUAGGUGAGAUGAGUCAGGAAGAGAGGAGAGAAUGCUGGAUCACCCCACGUAUCAGUGAAACUCAGGACACAGCGUCAAAAAGGAAGAACACAGGGAGCACUCAGGUAUGACUAUCCUGUGAGCAAACCGCUCUAGGCUGUCUCACAACUUCCCCACCUCACCUUACUCCCGGGCUGGGACUGUGGGCCUCACCUCCUCCUGCCCUUCCUGCAUGGCUGAUGCUGGAAGAAAGAAGAUUCCAGAACUAGAAACUCCCAGCUGCUCAGCCAGCUCAGAGAAGAAGGCCUUGGUUCAGAGUAAGAGUUAUCCUUUGACCAAACACUUCCCUCUGCAGAAAA
This is a long non-coding RNA of Erinaceus europaeus (western European hedgehog), 660 nucleotides long. RefSeq lists it as uncharacterized. The transcript is spliced from 2 exons. NCBI's taxonomy places the organism in Eukaryota, Metazoa, Chordata, Mammalia, Eulipotyphla, Erinaceidae. The record is from RefSeq and is a predicted model, not a curated record.